Molecule: long non-coding RNA, 2192 nt
Organism: Cavia porcellus (domestic guinea pig)
Lineage: Eukaryota; Metazoa; Chordata; Mammalia; Rodentia; Caviidae
Exons: 2
Source: RefSeq, a predicted model, not a curated record
CUACCGCUGGCCCUAGACUGUUAGCCAUUAAGUAAGCCUUUGUGUUUCAAUUUCCCUAUCUUGUAAAAACACGAUAAUAUGUGCUUUGCUAAUCUCCUACAGAUUUAAAAUAAAUCAGUGCAUAUAAUGUGGUUGGCAUUACUCUCAGUAUUUCACAUGCAUGGCAGAAUAAAAUUAUGCAGACACUGUGUUUUUCACGUUUAGUGUUUCUAGUUCCCUCUCCUUUCUUACCCGCUACUCAAAUUCAGGGAGCAGCAGGAACUUGUUCUAUACUUACUGAUCUCAGGGUAGAAUUUUUACAGUAGUAAUACCAAGAAUCUGUAUGAGCUUUUUGUGGAUAUAUUGCCUUAAAAUAUACACUUGGGUCUAUAUCAUGGAGGAAAAGGGUUUUUUUUUUUUUUUUAGAGGUUUAAUAUGUUCUAUGAAUAACAAAAGCCGAGCUUUUCCAGCUCAACAAUAAACAGAAUACACAGUCAGAGCUGAAUUUCUCCCUCAACCUCCUGGAUCAUAUUCAAGAUUCCACAGUCUGGGAAGAGGAGAAAAAUCGGAGAUGAAAUAAUGGCACCAUAAAAGUCUCUGCACAGGACAAGAUUCCUGGCCCAGUCUCCAGAUUAGCUUUCGGUUGGAUUGAUCUAGAAUCCUGCACUUCAGGAAGAAGGCUUUACAAAGAGGAGAUGGUGUAUAUUAAUAAACCUACGUCGGCGUGAACAACUGAUCACCUUUUCCAGUAUUCUGUUUUCAUGUAAACAUGUUCAGUUAUCUUAACUCUCAUAUAUUAUUAUUGUUAUUUGUCUACUUAAAUUGCUUAAAAAUAAUAGUGAUAUGUUUUCAACUGUAGAGAAGGACUUGUUUUCAGCAGUGUCUGAUAUUAUGUAGAUAUCCAAUUAUUGUUUGCUAAAUAAAGAACAGAAUAUUUUCAUCAAGUGCCAUUAGUCCUCUGAAGCAAGCAAUUGCAUUUUUAAAUUCUACCAACAAAUAGAUUUUUCCAAUAUAAUUGUUUUUUACUAUUUUCAAAAGAGUCUAUUUCCUAUUCCUUAAAACUCAUAUGAAACUAAUUUAAGGGAAAAUUUAGCAUGAUAUCCUGUGAUGAAUUAUUAGUGCAUUAUUUCUGUAAUACAUUAGAAAAACAAAAUAUAUGCUCUAUUUGUAUUUUGAAGACAGAUUUUGAAGGACAACUCCAUUUGAGAAAAAAAAUCUAUUCAAAAAAUUCUGAAUGAAUCUGUACACCAAUUUCUUUGUGCUAUAUCUAUUACUAAAUCAAAUGCUAAAGGAAAAAACUAAAAUGUAUUAAAACGAAUAGUAAGAUUAUCUUGUUCUAAUAAGAAUCAUUUUAGUACUUUCAUAGUGUCUGAGAAAACUAUUAAAACAUGCAAUUUAGUUGUAUUUACAUUAUUUUAAUUAAGACAUUUCAUUGUGUGAAUAAUUUAAUUACUUCUGCUAUACACAUUAUUAUUUAAAUUUUUGUAGUUUAUAUUAUCUAGCAAUGUUGAUAUAGAAACAUAGGUGAAAAAUCAUGGUUGAGUUAUACUUUCUUGAGUAACCUUGAUCUCUACAAUAUAGAGGAUUUUUGGCAAUUAAAGUAGGAGAGACAAGCUCCUAGCUGUCUUUGACUACAUCCAUCUUGGUGUAUACUUAUUUAGAAAUCAAAAACAGCAUGUAAAAUUAUGAAUCAGAGCCCAUGGAUCACCUUAUGGAGUUUCAUGAUGACACUGUCUUCUCUCUGGAACUAUUUUUCUUUCUAGAAUCUUAUCUAAUUUAAUGUAUUUAAGUAUUAAUUCAUAUGAUAAUAUAAAUAUAUGGUAUUAAAUAUAUGAUCUGAUUAUUUACAUGAGAAGUUCACUCAGUUUUUCUAUGAAAGGAAAUGCUAUAGCAAAUUUAACUAUAAAACCUUUAAACAUCAUAGAAAUUGAUUUUAAUUCUAAUAGUUGCAAAUAGACAAUUGUUGUAUAUUGUUCUAUAUAAUUGCAUCUCACACACAGUGUUGAGUGUGAUCACAGAGGUGAGUGGCAUAUAAAUUCAGAGAAUCAAAGUAUGAUGCAUGAAGUGAAAAUAGUAUUCAUCUCUGUAAUGAAAAUAUAGCUAUGAGAUAGUCUUAGAUACUGAUGAUGCCUUUUAGAAAGUAUAAGAAUAUUGUAACAAAAUGCCAAUAGACAUGAUGUCUUGAUGUAAAAAUUAAAGAGUAUUCAAUUUUA